Molecule: transfer RNA, 82 nt
Filed under: Lachnospiraceae bacterium
Lineage: Bacteria; Bacillati; Bacillota; Clostridia; Lachnospirales; Lachnospiraceae
Also listed under: 2 other names
Description: tRNA-Tyr
Rfam family: tRNA
About the family: Transfer RNA (tRNA) molecules are approximately 80 nucleotides in length. Their secondary structure includes four short double-helical elements and three loops (D, anti-codon, and T loops).
Source: RNAcentral
GGAUGGGUUCCCGAGUGGCCAAAGGGGGCAGACUGUAAAUCUGUUGCGACUCGCUUCGAUGGUUCGAAUCCAUCUCCAUCCA